GUUCACGCCAGGACCGCGGCGGUGGUCAUACGGAGGGUCCAGGGGUGAUCCGGAAUGACUGGGCGUAAAGAGUUGCGGAGGGUGCAAAGUAUGUCUGGAGGGAAGGUGUUGGGCUCAACCUUAUACACAUUAUAGAAACUGCUUGGCUAGAGGACGAGAGAGGUUAUUGGAAUUCCCAGUGUAGGAGUGAAAUCCGUAGAUAUUGGGAGGAACACCGAUGGCGUAGGCAGAUAACUGGCUCGUUCCUGACACUAAGGCACGAAAGCGUGGGGAACAAACGGGAUUAGAUACCCCGGUAGC
Molecule: ribosomal RNA, 300 nt
Filed under: uncultured Thiomicrospira sp.
Lineage: Bacteria; Pseudomonadati; Pseudomonadota; Gammaproteobacteria; Thiotrichales; Piscirickettsiaceae
Description: bacterial SSU rRNA
Rfam family: Bacterial small subunit ribosomal RNA
Source: RNAcentral